RNAcentral lists this ribosomal RNA (2243 nucleotides) under Escherichia coli. RNAcentral describes it as "partial 23S ribosomal RNA". It matches the Rfam family "Bacterial large subunit ribosomal RNA", at positions 419 to 2647 of the family's 2925-position model. The record is from RNAcentral. Lineage: Bacteria; Pseudomonadati; Pseudomonadota; Gammaproteobacteria; Enterobacterales; Enterobacteriaceae.
GGGACACGUGGUAUCCUGUCUGAAUAUGGGGGGACCAUCCUCCAAGGCUAAAUACUCCUGACUGACCGAUAGUGAACCAGUACCGUGAGGGAAAGGCGAAAAGAACCCCGGCGAGGGGAGUGAAAAAGAACCUGAAACCGUGUACGUACAAGCAGUGGGAGCCUCUUAAUGGGGUGACUGCGUACCUUUUGUAUAAUGGGUCAGCGACUUAUAUUCUGUAGCAAGGUUAACCGAAUAGGGGAGCCGAAGGGAAACCGAGUCUUAACUGGGCGUUAAGUUGCAGGGUAUAGACCCGAAACCCGGUGAUCUAGCCAUGGGCAGGUUGAAGGUUGGGUAACACUAACUGGAGGACCGAACCGACUAAUGUUGAAAAAUUAGCGGAUGACUUGUGGCUGGGGGUGAAAGGCCAAUCAAACCGGGAGAUAGCUGGUUCUCCCCGAAAGCUAUUUAGGUAGCGCCUCGUGAAUUCAUCUCCGGGGGUAGAGCACUGUUUCGGCAAGGGGGUCAUCCCGACUUACCAACCCGAUGCAAACUGCGAAUACCGGAGAAUGUUAUCACGGGAGACACACGGCGGGUGCUAACGUCCGUCGUGAAGAGGGAAACAACCCAGACCGCCAGCUAAGGUCCCAAAGUCAUGGUUAAGUGGGAAACGAUGUGGGAAGGCCCAGACAGCCAGGAUGUUGGCUUAGAAGCAGCCAUCAUUUAAAGAAAGCGUAAUAGCUCACUGGUCGAGUCGGCCUGCGCGGAAGAUGUAACGGGGCUAAACCAUGCACCGAAGCUGCGGCAGCGACACUAUGUGUUGUUGGGUAGGGGAGCGUUCUGUAAGCCUGUGAAGGUGUACUGUGAGGUAUGCUGGAGGUAUCAGAAGUGCGAAUGCUGACAUAAGUAACGAUAAAGCGGGUGAAAAGCCCGCUCGCCGGAAGACCAAGGGUUCCUGUCCAACGUUAAUCGGGGCAGGGUGAGUCGACCCCUAAGGCGAGGCCGAAAGGCGUAGUCGAUGGGAAACAGGUUAAUAUUCCUGUACUUGGUGUUACUGCGAAGGGGGGACGGAGAAGGCUAUGUUGGCCGGGCGACGGUUGUCCCGGUUUAAGCGUGUAGGCUGGUUUUCCAGGCAAAUCCGGAAAAUCAAGGCUGAGGCGUGAUGACGAGGCACUACGGUGCUGAAGCGACAAAUGCCCUGCUUCCAGGAAAAGCCUCUAAGCAUCAGGUAACAUCAAAUCGUACCCCAAACCGACACAGGUGGUCAGGUAGAGAAUACCAAGGCGCUUGAGAGAACUCGGGUGAAGGAACUAGGCAAAAUGGUGCCGUAACUUCGGGAGAAGGCACGCUGAUAUGUAGGUGAAGCGACUUGCUCGUGGAGCUGAAAUCAGUCGAAGAUACCAGCUGGCUGCAACUGUUUAUUAAAAACACAGCACUGUGCAAACACGAAAGUGGACGUAUACGGUGUGACGCCUGCCCGGUGCCGGAAGGUUAAUUGAUGGGGUUAGCGGUAACGCGAAGCUCUUGAUCGAAGCCCCGGUAAACGGCGGCCGUAACUAUAACGGUCCUAAGGUAGCGAAAUUCCUUGUCGGGUAAGUUCCGACCUGCACGAAUGGCGUAAUGAUGGCCAGGCUGUCUCCACCCGAGACUCAGUGAAAUUGAACUCGCUGUGAAGAUGCAGUGUACCCGCGGCAAGACGGAAAGACCCCGUGAACCUUUACUAUAGCUUGACACUGAACAUUGAGCCUUGAUGUGUAGGAUAGGUGGGAGGCUUUGAAGUGUGGACGCCAGUCUGCAUGGAGCCGACCUUGAAAUACCACCCUUUAAUGUUUGAUGUUCUAACGUGGGCCCCUUACCGGGGUUGCGGACAGUGUCUGGUGGGUAGUUUGACUGGGGCGGUCUCCUCCUAAAGAGUAACGGAGGAGCACGAAGGUUGGCUAAUCCUGGUCGGACAUCAGGAGGUUAGUGCAAUGGCAUAAGCCAGCUUGACUGCGAGCGUGACGGCGCGAGCAGGUGCGAAAGCAGGUCAUAGUGAUCCGGUGGUUCUGAAUGGAAGGGCCAUCGCUCAACGGAUAAAAGGUACUCCGGGGAUAACAGGCUGAUACCGCCCAAGAGUUCAUAUCGACGGCGGUGUUUGGCACCUCGAUGUCGGCUCAUCACAUCCUGGGGCUGAAGUAGGUCCCAAGGGUAUGGCUGUUCGCCAUUUAAAGUGGUACGCGAGCUGGGUUUAGAACGUCGUGAGACAGUUCGGUCCCUAUCUGCCG